UUCCAGCUCCAAUAGCGUAUAUUAAAAUUGUUGCAGUUAAAACGUUCGUAGUUGAAUAUUAAAGAAUCCGAUGUUUCAUUUAAACUGGUUUGAAAAAACUAUGUAUAUAUUUUGCUUUUUGCUUAAUAUGUUUUUUCUAUAAAUUAUGUUUUUAUCAGAUAUGACAGAGUCUUUUUUAAAAUCUUUUCAUUUAGCUUUUUUUAGCUUUUGGGAGAUCUUGUUACUUUGAGUAAAAUAAAGUGUUCAUAACAGACGGCUAUACAAUAGAUUGAGUUCAUUGUGUUUGAAUACUACAGCAUGGAAUAACAAAUAUGAAUAAGCUAAUCUUUUUUUUUUGAUUAUUUUUUUUGAUAUUCUUAUUAGCUUAGUUACGAUUAAUAGGAGUAGCUUUGGGGACAUUCGUAUUCAGAUGUC
Molecule: ribosomal RNA, 414 nt
Filed under: Plasmodium reichenowi
Lineage: Eukaryota; Apicomplexa; Aconoidasida; Haemosporida; Plasmodiidae
Description: partial 18S ribosomal RNA
Rfam family: Eukaryotic small subunit ribosomal RNA
Source: RNAcentral